GACGAACGCUGGCGGCGUGCUUAACACAUGCAAGUCGAACGGAAAGGCCCUUCUUUUGUGGGUUGCUCGAGUGGCGAACGGGUGGGGAACACUUGAGUAACCUGCCCUGGACUUUGGGAUAACUUCAGGAAACUGGGGCUAAUACCGGAUAGGAGCUCCUGCGUCAUGGUGGGGGUGGGAAAGUUUCGGCGGUUGGGGAUGGACUUGCGGCGUAUCCGGUUGUUGGUGGGGUAGUGGCUUACCAAGGCUUUGACGGGUAGCCGGCCUGAGAGGGUGACCGGCCACAUUGGGACUGAGAUACGGGCCAGACUCCUACGGGAGGGAGCAGUGGGGAAUAUUGCAAAAUGGGCGGAAGGCUGAUGCAGCAAAGCCGCGUGCGGUAUGAAGGCCUUCGGGUUGUAAACCGCUUUCGCCUGUGACGAAGCGUGAGUGACGGUAAUGGGUAAAGAAGCACCGGCUAACUACGUG
This 468-nucleotide ribosomal RNA is filed under the name uncultured bacterium. Its description in RNAcentral is "partial 16S ribosomal RNA". It matches the Rfam family "Bacterial small subunit ribosomal RNA", at positions 28 to 507 of the family's 1533-position model. The record is from RNAcentral.